AAAAAAUUUAGAUGAAGAUCUAUGGUGGAUGAAAUUGAAAAUGUUUUCAAUUACUAAGUUUUUCUUAAAACACCAAAAUCCUCCCCUCCAGCUUUAAGAUGUUUUACUCCCAGCCUAGUACCCAAAAAAAGGGGAAAGGAAAACAAGAAUCUUUGUGCCUGCCCUUUGCAUGACCCAGGACUCCGGUGCCAAUGAAAAGAACACAAUCCUGAGGCCAAACUCAGCCUCUACCCUGGACAUCACAGAAUCCUGAAUAGACUUCGGAAGAGCUGUGACCUAGGAUGGAGGCUGUCAAUCAAGGGGCACUGCCUCCCCUCAGAAGGCUGGGAAGGAUGGGAGACGCCAACCCCGUGCUUGUCAGUCUCUCCUGAAGGUCUAACGCCGGCCACCCUGCAGUGCAGAUCACAGGUCUGCCAGUGAAAUAAUGGAAACUUUCCGGGAGCAAGAAGCUAAAAGAUUUUUGUCAAGACAAAUGCUCGGCAUAAGGAAAAUGAAGGUAAAUUAACUAACACCAGAGACCACAGCUGCUAGGUCAAUGUAGGAUGAGCUGUAAGAAACAAGUGACAUCGUGAAGCCCUGGUACUGGACAAGAAGUUAAUGUUUAUAUUGAGAACAGAAGGAAUUCCACACAUGCAGCUGAGAGCUGGAGAAAGUAGAGAGCAGAAACCAGACACCCUCCUGCGUGCCUGUCACUCUUGAGCACUGAGGGCCUCUGAAGGUCCCGAGGCCUGGGCCACGCGGGUAUGUGGUGGUGACCCC
This 759-nucleotide long non-coding RNA is filed under the name Heterocephalus glaber (naked mole-rat). RNAcentral's name for it is "lncRNA (ENSHGLG00100041311.1)". Lineage: Eukaryota; Metazoa; Chordata; Mammalia; Rodentia; Bathyergidae. The record is from RNAcentral.